GACGAACGCUGGCGGCGUGCCUAAUACAUGCAAGUAGAGCGCUGAAGGAGGAGCUUGCUUCUCUGGAUGAGUUGCGAACGGGUGAGUAACGCGUAGGUAACCUGCCUGGUAGCGGGGGAUAACUAUUGGAAACGAUAGCUAAUACCGCAUAAUAUUGACUAUUGCAUGAUAGUCAGUUGAAAGGUGCAACUGCACCACUACCAGAUGGACCUGCGUUGUAUUAGCUAGUUGGUGGGGUAACGGCUCACCAAGGCGACGAUACAUAGCCGACCUGAGAGGGUGAUCGGCCACACUGGGACUGAGACACGGCCCAGACUCCUACGGGAGGCAGCAGUAGGGAAUCUUCGGCAAUGGACGGAAGUCUGACCGAGCAACGCCGCGUGAGUGAAGAAGGUUUUCGGAUCGUAAAGCUCUGUUGUAAGAGAAGAACGAGUGUGAGAGUGGAAAGCUCACACUGUGACGGUAUCUUACCAGAGGGACGGCUAACUACGUG
This 493-nucleotide ribosomal RNA is filed under the name uncultured bacterium. Its description in RNAcentral is "partial 16S ribosomal RNA". It matches the Rfam family "Bacterial small subunit ribosomal RNA", at positions 28 to 507 of the family's 1533-position model. The record is from RNAcentral.